UUGUCUCAGUUCGGAUUGUAGGCUGAAACUCGCCUACAUGAAGCUGGAGUUGCUAGUAAUCGCGAAUCAGCAUGUCGCGGUGAAUACGUUCCCGGGCCUUGUACACACCGCCCGUCACACCAUGAGAGUUGGCAAUACCCAACGUACGUGAUCUAACCCGCAAGGGAGGAAGCGUCCUAAGGUAGGGUCAGCGAUUGGGGUGAAGUCGUAACAAGGUAAC
RNAcentral lists this ribosomal RNA (220 nucleotides) under uncultured bacterium. Its description in RNAcentral is "partial 16S ribosomal RNA". It matches the Rfam family "Bacterial small subunit ribosomal RNA", at positions 1283 to 1500 of the family's 1533-position model. The record is from RNAcentral.